Molecule: long non-coding RNA, 327 nt
Organism: Esox lucius (northern pike)
Lineage: Eukaryota; Metazoa; Chordata; Actinopteri; Esociformes; Esocidae
Source: Ensembl
UGUUCAGCAGGCCUACAGGUUGUAACAUUAUUAAUGGAAUAGAGUGUGUUCAGCAGGCCUACAGGUGUGUCUGGGUAAAAGAGUAGGCUAACUGGAAAAAGACUGUUCAAUUGUGUUGGUAACAAAUGUCAGGAUUGCUGUUGAUCUCUUUACACGUAUGGGUACAAAUCCCCUGUCUAUGCGGAUUGCGAGAUGAGUGGAAGUCACAAGACAUUUGUGUUACACAAUCUGGUCCUGAUAUAACCUGAUAUCUAUCUGUUUUGGAUAAAUGGAAAUAGGUGCUUCUGUGUAUGGCCCAUGGUAUCUCCAUACCCAUCUCCAGCAGCC